Trichonephila inaurata madagascariensis is the source of this 76-nucleotide non-coding RNA. The record is from the annotation of a GenBank genome assembly. NCBI's taxonomy places the organism in Eukaryota, Metazoa, Arthropoda, Arachnida, Araneae, Nephilidae.
CCCCCAGUGGCGCAAUUGAACAUGCUUGCCGGUACUUAUAAUGCCAAGGUUGUUAGUUCGAUCCUCACCUGGGGGA